GAUGAACGCUGGCGGCGUGCCUAAUACAUGCAAGUCGAGCGAACAGACGAGGAGCUUGCUCCUUUGACGUUAGCGGCGGACGGGUGAGUAACACGUGGAUAACCUACCUAUAAGACUGGGAUAACUUCGGGAAACCGGAGCUAAUACCGGAUAACAUGUUGAACCGCAUGGUUCAACAGUGAAAGACGGUCUUGCUGUCACUUAUAGAUGGAUCCGCGCCGCAUUAUCUAGUUGGUAAGGUAACGGCUUACCAAGGCAACGAUGCGUAGCCGACCUGAGAGGGUGAUCGGCCACACUGGAACUGAGACACGGUCCAGACUCCUACGGGAGGCAGCAGUAGGGAAUCUUCCGCAAUGGGCGAAAGCCUGACGGAGCAACGCCGCGUGAGUGAAGAAGGUCUUCGGAUCGUAAAACUCUGUUAUUAGGGAAGAACAAAUGUGUAAGUAACUAUGCACGUCUUGACGGUACCUAAUCAGAAAGCCACGGCUAACUACGUG
RNAcentral lists this ribosomal RNA (497 nucleotides) under uncultured bacterium. RNAcentral's name for it is "partial 16S ribosomal RNA". It matches the Rfam family "Bacterial small subunit ribosomal RNA", at positions 28 to 507 of the family's 1533-position model. The record is from RNAcentral.